Molecule: long non-coding RNA, 531 nt
Organism: Homo sapiens (human)
Lineage: Eukaryota; Metazoa; Chordata; Mammalia; Primates; Hominidae
Source: Ensembl
UGGGAUCGUCGGGUCAGGCCUUGGGCCAACGUAGGCACUCUCGCAGUUCCUCCGCCUUCAGGAAGGUCUUUUUGGCAGGGGCCCUACGGGUGCGCGCUUCGGUCCUGGAGGCCUUAUCCAAGCCUCCUCUCCAUCAGCGCCACCCGUCUGGGGUCCGAAAGGAGGGAGCUUUCCCUCUGUCCCCCAGCCUUUGGACUGUCACCAAACAAGCCAUUCGUUCACCAAAUACUUAUUAAGCGCCUACCAGGUACUAUCCUCAAUUGUCUUGUGAUAUUUACAAUCUAGAAGGCAGGAGAGAGAACUAAGAACAGAGAGCGUGUUCUGAGAUGUCUGCUGUGAUUGCAGAAAGAGGCUUCUCCCCAGGACCAGGAUUCCACGAAGGCAGCCCUUUUCUAGAUGGAGAAAAUAGAACCUGAAGGCAGCCGUUUCCCUAAACUGCUCUCGCUCAUGUCUCUCAGAGAAAGGAAAUGAAGCAGUGAAAGCAUCCUCCCAAAAGGGACUUUUAAAUCCUUCUACCUGGGCUGAACUACA